This 498-nucleotide ribosomal RNA is filed under the name uncultured bacterium. RNAcentral's name for it is "partial 16S ribosomal RNA". It matches the Rfam family "Bacterial small subunit ribosomal RNA", at positions 28 to 507 of the family's 1533-position model. The record is from RNAcentral.
GACGAACGCUGGCGGCGUGCCUAAUACAUGCAAGUCGAACGAGAGCGCCCGGUGCUUGCACUGGUCAAUCUAGUGGCGAACGGGUGAGUAACACGUGGGUAACCUGCCCAUCAGAGGGGGAUAACAUUCGGAAACGGAUGCUAAAACCGCAUAGGUCUUCGAACCGCAUGGUUUGAAGAGGAAAAGAGGCGCAAGCUUCUGCUGAUGGAUGGACCCGCGGUGCAUUAGCUAGUUGGUGAGGUAACGGCUCACCAAGGCCGUGAUGCAUAGCCGACCUGAGAGGGUGAUCGGCCACAUUGGGACUGAGACACGGCCCAAACUCCUACGGGAGGCAGCAGUAGGGAAUCUUCCGCAAUGGACGCAAGUCUGACGGAGCAACGCCGCGUGAGUGAAGAAGGUUUUCGGAUCGUAAAACUCUGUUGUUAGAGAAGAAUAAGUGCUAGAGUAACUGUUAGCGCCUUGACGGUAGCUAACCAGAAAGCCACGGCUAACUACGUG